UAAGGAAUAUUGGUCAAUGGACGCAAGUCUGAACCAGCCAUGCCGCGUGAAGGAUGAAGGUCCUCUGGAUUGUAAACUUCUUUUAUCUGGGACGAAAACGGGAUUUUUAUCUCAAUUGACGGUACCAGAGGAAUAAGCACCGGCUAACUCCGUGCCAGCAGCCGCGGUAAUACGGAGGGUGCGAGCGUUAUCCGGAUUUACUGGGUUUAAAGGGUGCGUAGGUGGGCUUAUAAGUCAGUGGUGAAAUCUCCGAGCUUAACUUGGAAACUGCCGUUGAUACUAUAGGUCUUGAAUUAUCUGGAGGUAAGCGGAAUAUGUCAUGUAGCGGUGAAAUGCUUAGAUAUGACAUAGAACACCAAUUGCGAAGGCAGCUUACUACAUAUAAAUUGACGCUGAGGCACGAAAGCGUG
This 410-nucleotide ribosomal RNA is filed under the name uncultured bacterium. RNAcentral's name for it is "bacterial SSU rRNA". It matches the Rfam family "Bacterial small subunit ribosomal RNA", at positions 355 to 763 of the family's 1533-position model. The record is from RNAcentral.